RNAcentral lists this long non-coding RNA (685 nucleotides) under Homo sapiens (human). RNAcentral describes it as "long intergenic non-protein coding RNA 1273". Lineage: Eukaryota; Metazoa; Chordata; Mammalia; Primates; Hominidae. The record is from RNAcentral.
ACAGCAACCUUACCAGCCCCUCCAGCUUAGAGGUGGCAGUGGCUCUCUGCGGCUGCGAUUUCUUUCUCGGAGCGUCCUCCCCAUCCCGUUCGGCCUCUGCCUCCACCGUCGUCUCUGUAACCCGUUCCCUGUGGGAGAGUCUCUGUUGCGGUGUUCAGGGGUUUCGGUUUUCUGGCUGAACAGUGAUUAACGCGAGGGAAGGCGCUGACGGCAAGGUGGCAGAACAUUCCAACACAGACCACAACACCUAUGGACCUGGAAAACAUUGUGCUCAGUGAAAGAAGCCAGACACAGAAGGACAAUGUUGUAUGAGGCUGGACUGCAGUGGUGCAAUCCUAGCUCACUGCAGCUUCGACCUCCCGUGCUCAAGUGAUUUUCCCACCUCAGCCUCCCGAGUAGCUGGGACUACAGGUGCGUGCCACCACGCCUGGCUGAUUUUUCUUGUAUUUUUUUGUAGAGAUGGGGGUAUCGCUAUGUUGCCCAGGCUGGUCUUGAACACUUGGGCUCAAGUAAUUCUCCCGCCUUGGCCUCCCAAAGUGCUGGGAUUACAGGUGUGAGCCACUGUGCCUAGUGUGAAUGCAUUUAAUGCCACUGAAUUGUACACUUAAUAAUGGUGAAAAAUAUAAAUAUUCUGUUAAAUAUUUUACCACAAUAAAAAAAUGUGUGACAGUUGUCAGAAUCAAAA